GGGUUGUGAGGUUAAGCGACUAAGCGUACACGGUGGAUGCCCUGGCAGUCAGAGGCGAUGAAGGGCGUGCUAAUCUGCGAUAAGCGCCGGUAAGGUGAUAUGAACCGUUAUAACCGGCGAUACCCGAAUGGGGAAACCCAGUGUGAUUCGUCACACUAUCAUUAACUGAAUCCAUAGGUUAAUGAGGCGAACCGGGGGAACUGAAACAUCUAAGUACCCCGAGGAAAAGAAAUCAACCGAGAUUCCCCCAGUAGCGGCGAGCGAACGGGGAGGAGCCCAGAGCCUGAAUCAGCAUGUGUGUUAGUGGAAGCGUCUGGAAAGGCGCGCGAUACAGGGUGACAGCCCCGUACACAAAAGCGCAUGUGCUGUGAGCUCGAUGAGUAGGGCGGGACACGUGGUAUCCUGUCUGAAUAUGGGGGGACCAUCCUCCAAGGCUAAAUACUCCUGACUGACCGAUAGUGAACCAGUACCGUGAGGGAAAGGCGAAAAGAACCCCGGCGAGGGGAGUGAAAAAGAACCUGAAACCGUGUACGUACAAGCAGUGGGAGCNNNNNNNNNNNNNNNNNNNNNNNNNNNNNNNNNNNNNNNNGGGCGUUAAGUUGCAGGGUAUAGACCCGAAACCCGGUGAUCUAGCCAUGGGCAGGUUGAAGGUUGGGUAACACUAACUGGAGGACCGAACCGACUAAUGUUGAAAAAUUAGCGGAUGACCUGUGGCUGGGGGUGAAAGGCCAAUCAAACCGGGAGAUAGCUGGUUCUCCCCGAAAGCUAUUUAGGUAGCGCCUCGUGAAUUCAUCUCCGGGGGUAGAGCACUGUUUCGGCUAGGGGGCCAUCCCGGCUUACCAACCCGAUGCAAACUGCGAAUACCGGAGAAUGUUAUCACGGGAGACACACGGCGGGUGCUAACGUCCGUCGUGAAGAGGGAAACAACCCAGACCGCCAGCUAAGGUCCCAAAGUCAUGGUUAAGUGGGAAACGAUGUGGGAAGGCCCAGACAGCCAGGAUGUUGGCUUAGAAGCAGCCAUCAUUUAAAGAAAGCGUAAUAGCUCACUGGUCGAGUCGGCCUGCGCGGAAGAUGUAACGGGGCUAAACCAUGCACCGAAGCUGCGGCAGCGACACUGUGUGUUGUUGGGUAGGGGAGCGUUCUGUAAGCCUGUGAAGGUGUGUCGUGAGGCAUGCUGGAGGUAUCAGAAGUGCGAAUGCUGACAUAAGUAACGAUAAAGCGGGUGAAAAGCCCGCUCGCCGGAAGACCAAGGGUUCCUGUCCAACGUUAAUCGGGGCAGGGUGAGUCGACCCCUAAGGCGAGGCCGAAAGGCGUAGUCGAUGGGAAACGGGUUAAUAUUCCCGUACUUGGUGUUACUGCGAAGGGGGGACGGAGAAGGCUAUGUUGGCCGGGCGACGGUUGUCCCGGUUUAAGCGUGUAGGUGUGUGUUCCAGGUAAAUCCGGUUCACUUUAACACUGAGGCGUGACGACGAGGCACUACGGUGCUGAAGCAACAAAUGCCCUGCUUCCAGGAAAAGCCUCUAAGCAUCAGGUAACAUCAAAUCGUACCCCAAACCGACACAGGUGGUCAGGUAGAGAAUACCAAGGCGCUUGAGAGAACUCGGGUGAAGGAACUAGGCAAAAUGGUGCCGUAACUUCGGGAGAAGGCACGCUGACACGUAGGUGAAGUGAUUUACUCAUGGAGCUGAAGUCAGUCGAAGAUACCAGCUGGCUGCAACUGUUUAUUAAAAACACAGCACUGUGCAAACACGAAAGUGGACGUAUACGGUGUGACGCCUGCCCGGUGCCGGAAGGUUAAUUGAUGGGGUCAGCGCAAGCGAAGCUCCUGAUCGAAGCCCCGGUAAACGGCGGCCGUAACUAUAACGGUCCUAAGGUAGCGAAAUUCCUUGUCGGGUAAGUUCCGACCUGCACGAAUGGCGUAAUGAUGGCCAGGCUGUCUCCACCCGAGACUCAGUGAAAUUGAACUCGCUGUGAAGAUGCAGUGUACCCGCGGCAAGACGGAAAGACCCCGUGAACCUUUACUAUAGCUUGACACUGAACAUUGAGCCUUGAUGUGUAGGAUAGGUGGGAGGCUUUGAAGUGUGGACGCCAGUCUGCAUGGAGCCGACCUUGAAAUACCACCCUUUAAUGUUUGAUGUUCUAACGUGGACCCGUUACCCGGGUUGCGGACAGUGUCUGGUGGGUAGUUUGACUGGGGCGGUCUCCUCCUAAAGAGUAACGGAGGAGCACGAAGGUUGGCUAAUCCUGGUCGGACAUCAGGAGGUUAGUGCAAUGGCAUAAGCCAGCUUGACUGCGAGCGUGACGGCGCGAGCAGGUGCGAAAGCAGGUCAUAGUGAUCCGGUGGUUCUGAAUGGAAGGGCCAUCGCUCAACGGAUAAAAGGUACUCCGGGGAUAACAGGCUGAUACCGCCCAAGAGUUCAUAUCGACGGCGGUGUUUGGCACCUCGAUGUCGGCUCAUCACAUCCUGGGGCUGAAGUAGGUCCCAAGGGUAUGGCUGUUCGCCAUUUAAAGUGGUACGCGAGCUGGGUUUAGAACGUCGUGAGACAGUUCGGUCCCUAUCUGCCGUGGGCGCUGGAGAACUGAGGGGGGCUGCUCCUAGUACGAGAGGACCGGAGUGGACGCAUCACUGGUGUUCGGGUUGUCAUGCCAAUGGCACUGCCCGGUAGCUAAAUGCGGAAGAGAUAAGUGCUGAAAGCAUCUAAGCACGAAACUUGCCCCGAGAUGAGUUCUCCCUGAGACUUAGAGUCUCCUGAAGGAACGUUGAAGACGACGACGUUGAUAGGCCGGGUGUGUAAGCGCAGCGAUGCGUUGAGCUAACCGGUACUAAUGAACCGUGAGGCUUAACCUUACAACGCCGAAG
Molecule: ribosomal RNA, 2860 nt
Filed under: Salmonella enterica subsp. enterica serovar Enteritidis
Lineage: Bacteria; Pseudomonadati; Pseudomonadota; Gammaproteobacteria; Enterobacterales; Enterobacteriaceae
Description: bacterial LSU rRNA
Rfam family: Bacterial large subunit ribosomal RNA
Source: RNAcentral